ACGGGUGAGUAAUGUCUGGGAAACUGCCUGAUGGAGGGGGAUAACUACUGGAAACGGUAGCUAAUACCGCAUAACGUCGCAAGACCAAAGAGGGGGACCUUCGGGCCUCUUGCCAUCAGAUGUGCCCAGAUGGGAUUAGCUAGUAGGUGGGGUAACGGCUCACCUAGGCGACGAUCCCUAGCUGGUCUGAGAGGAUGACCAGCCACACUGGAACUGAGACACGGUCCAGACUCCUACGGGAGGCAGCAGUGGGGAAUAUUGCACAAUGGGCGCAAGCCUGAUGCAGCCAUGCCGCGUGUAUGAAGAAGGCCUUCGGGUUGUAAAGUACUUUCAGCGAGGAGGAAGGCAUUGAGGUUAAUAACCUCAGUGAUUGACGUUACUCGCAGAAGAAGCACCGGCUAACUCCGUGCCAGCAGCCGCGGUAAUACGGAGGGUGCAAGCGUUAAUCGGAAUUACUGGGCGUAAAGCGCACGCAGGCGGUCUGUCAAGUCGGAUGUGAAAUCCCCGGGCUCAACCUGGGAACUGCAUUCGAAACUGGCAGGCUAGAGUCUUGUAGAGGGGGGUAGAAUUCCAGGUGUAGC
Molecule: ribosomal RNA, 581 nt
Filed under: uncultured bacterium
Lineage: Bacteria
Description: bacterial SSU rRNA
Rfam family: Bacterial small subunit ribosomal RNA
Source: RNAcentral